UUGAUUGGUAUUUGCACGAGCCCGCGCGCUCCUCUCGCGCUGUGGAUUUGAAUGGUGUAACGCGCGACUUCUGUUGGUGACUGCAACUUUGAAAUCUCCACUUUGACCAAGUACAGAAAAACUCAUUGACA
Chiloscyllium plagiosum (whitespotted bambooshark) is the source of this 131-nucleotide non-coding RNA. The record is from RefSeq and is a predicted model, not a curated record. NCBI's taxonomy places the organism in Eukaryota, Metazoa, Chordata, Chondrichthyes, Orectolobiformes, Hemiscylliidae.